CAUGCAUCCUUAGUACGGCGAGUGACCGGGAAAAGCUCAAAUUUGUAAUCUGGCUGUCUUCGAUAGUCCGAGUUGUAAUCUAUAGACGUGUUUUCCGUGCUGGACCGUAUCUAAGUCCCUUGGAACAGGGUAUCAAAGAGGGUGACAAUCCCGUGCUUGAUACGACCACCAGUGCUCUGUGAUACACGUUCUACGAGUCGAGUUGUUUGGGAAUGCAGCUCAAAAUGGGUGGUAAAUUCCAUCUAAAGCUAAAUAUUGGCGAGAGACCGAUAGCGAACAAGUACCGUGAGGGAAAGAUGAAAAGCACUUUGGAAAGAGAGUUAAACAGUACGUGAAAUUGUUGAAAGGGAAACGAUUGAAGUCAGUCGUGUUCUUCAGAUUCAGCUGGUUCUUCCAGUCUACUUCUGUGGAACGGGUCAACAUCAGUUUUGUCCGGUGGAUAAAGGUAGUAGGAAUGUGACUCCCCCGGGAGUGUUAUAGCCUAUUAUUGCAUACACUGGGUGAGACUGAGGACUGCAGCUCGCCUUUUGGCCGGUCUUCGGACACGUUCGAGCUUAGGAUGUUGACAUAAUGGCUUUAAACGACCCGUCUUGACCACGGAACAAUG
This 607-nucleotide ribosomal RNA is filed under the name Cutaneotrichosporon jirovecii. RNAcentral describes it as "eukaryotic LSU rRNA". It matches the Rfam family "Eukaryotic large subunit ribosomal RNA", at positions 69 to 671 of the family's 3401-position model. The record is from RNAcentral. Lineage: Eukaryota; Fungi; Basidiomycota; Tremellomycetes; Trichosporonales; Trichosporonaceae.